Molecule: ribosomal RNA, 386 nt
Filed under: uncultured bacterium
Lineage: Bacteria
Description: bacterial SSU rRNA
Rfam family: Bacterial small subunit ribosomal RNA
Source: RNAcentral
AUUGAACGCUGGCGGCAUGCCUUACACAUGCAAGUCGAACGGCGGCACGGGGGCAACCCUGGUGGCGAGUGGCGAACGGGUGAGUAAUACAUCGGAAUGUACCCAGUAGUGGGGGAUAACUAGUCGAAAGAUUAGCUAAUACCGCAUACGCACUAUGGUGGAAAGCGGGGGAUCGCAAGACCUCGCGCUAUUGGAGCAGCCGAUGUCCGAUUAGGUAGUUGGUGGGGUAAAGGCCUACCAAGCCUGCGAUCGGUAACUGGUCUGAGAGGACGACCAGUCACACUGGGACUGAGACACGGCCCAGACUCCUACGGGAGGCAGCAGUGGGGAAUUUUGGACAAUGGGGGAAACCCUGAUCCAGCAAUGCCGCGUGUGUGACGAAGGCC